AAAGGGAGACCUAAUUCAGGUAGGAGACGAAAAAAAAGUAGUCGCUACCAAGAAUCAAUCCCAAAAGGUCGGAACGAGGUAUGUGGCUUUCAAACUAGGUUCUGGGUUCAUAAAAGACCUGAAUCAGGAACAAGGGCUAUUAGCUCAGGUGGUUAGAGCGCACCCCUGAUAAGGGUGAGGUCCCUGGUUCGAGUCCAGGAUGGCCCACCUGCACAGGUGGAAAAAACAAAAGAAGCUCCGAAUCAGCACCUUAUCUUACUUAUAUAGUAAGAGAGAAUGCUGGCUCUGAGUAAAGAGUCCAGAGGAACCUUGAAAACUGCAUAGAGCUAGGUGAAAAAGCCAAAAAAGAAGACCGCAAG
This 359-nucleotide transfer RNA is filed under the name uncultured Microcystis sp. RNAcentral's name for it is "partial 16S-23S ribosomal RNA intergenic spacer". The stretch from base 134 to 207 matches the Rfam family "tRNA". The record is from RNAcentral. Lineage: Bacteria; Bacillati; Cyanobacteriota; Cyanophyceae; Chroococcales; Microcystaceae.